Non-coding RNA from Oncorhynchus mykiss (rainbow trout), 78 nucleotides. Lineage: Eukaryota; Metazoa; Chordata; Actinopteri; Salmoniformes; Salmonidae. The record is from the annotation of a RefSeq genome assembly.
GUCCUGUGUGGCUCAGUUGGUAGAGAGAGCAUGGUGCUUGCAACACCAGGGUUGUGGGUUUGAUUCCCACAGAGGACA